RNAcentral lists this transfer RNA (71 nucleotides) under Fulvia fulva CBS 131901. Its description in RNAcentral is "tRNA-Pro (TGG) (tRNA-Pro-TGG-1-1)". It matches the Rfam family "tRNA". Rfam says of the family: Transfer RNA (tRNA) molecules are approximately 80 nucleotides in length. Their secondary structure includes four short double-helical elements and three loops (D, anti-codon, and T loops). Lineage: Eukaryota; Fungi; Ascomycota; Dothideomycetes; Mycosphaerellales; Mycosphaerellaceae. The record is from RNAcentral.
GGCCCUUUAGUAUAGUGGUAGAAUACAUCGUUUGGGACGAUGUGGCGGGCGUUCUAUUCGCCCAAGGGCCC